AGAAUCUUAAAAAAGAACAUGACCUCUAAAAGGCCUGAGAAAACAAUGACAUACAAUGUGUCUGGCACCCCCAUAUUUCGAUAAAAUCCUUUCACGAACAAAACAUCAGAAACCAUAAACACUGCCAUUGUUGCUUGAAUGCUUCCAAUUAAUUUCCUUGCUGGAACUGUUUUCAAGUGUUGAUUGUAGAUGAUGCUCCANGAUGAUGCUCCACAGAAGCAAUGCCGCCUGGCCAAAAACCUUAGAGAUCCCUAGUAGUGAUGAAUCAAUCUUCAAAUAUUGUGUUUGAUAAAAGAACAUUGUUCCUGUCAGUGCUGGAAUCACAGCAUAAGAUGCAGCAAACCAUGCUAUUGAGUAAGCAACCUCAGGUUUUUUUAAUGCAAAAGAGAGCUGCGAAAGCUGUU
Molecule: unclassified non-coding RNA, 404 nt
Filed under: Hevea brasiliensis (rubber tree)
Lineage: Eukaryota; Viridiplantae; Streptophyta; Magnoliopsida; Malpighiales; Euphorbiaceae
Source: RNAcentral